This is a long non-coding RNA of Lates calcarifer (barramundi perch), 721 nucleotides long. RefSeq lists it as uncharacterized. The record is from RefSeq and is a predicted model, not a curated record. The transcript is spliced from 3 exons. NCBI's taxonomy places the organism in Eukaryota, Metazoa, Chordata, Actinopteri, Centropomidae.
ACGGCACCGUGCUAGUCAGGUAACAGGUCUGUUUACAAAGUUUGUAAGUGCUCUGAAACAUGUCACGGGGCGGAAAUGGGAGCGGAAAUUAGCGUGUCCAUCCGGGAGACUGCCCCUCAUCUGUUGCACUUGAACAGCCUCAACUCCGACGGCUAUGGCUUCGGGCGGUGCUCGGGCGAGAGCGGUAACCCUGGCUGUUUCCACACAGGUGGUUAGAGGAGUCUUUGAGGAUUCUGAAAAUAUCUCCAGAACAGUGGUUGCUGUGGCAAGAGUUAACAUGGAGAGAGACGUGGAGACACAUGGGGAAGAGAAUGUGGAUCACAGGAAGGUGAAGGAGAGGAGAUAAAUAAGUGGAAGGACACCGAGGGAGAGACAGAAGGUGAGAUGGACAAAUGACAGUUUUAUUUUCACCUCAGAGAGGGAUAGAUGGAACAGCUGGCUCCUCAGACACACACACAAAACACACUUUCCUCCAUCUUUCCAUGCAUUAAUAUUCAGUUGAGAUCACGUUGAACACAAAGCAAAGACAUCAUUUUUGUGUAAUGAAUGUAUUUGUGACACUGUGGGUGAGCCUGUGUGUUUGAUUAGUUGUCUCACUACGCUUGUCUACAUCACUGGGUCACUAUGACACCGCUCACUACACACACACACACUCACACACUUAUGUCCAUGUAUGUUUGUGUGUGUGUCUGACAGUGUGUGGUAUGUGUGUUGACUUUGU